Molecule: long non-coding RNA, 12841 nt
Filed under: Hordeum vulgare
Lineage: Eukaryota; Viridiplantae; Streptophyta; Magnoliopsida; Poales; Poaceae
Description: long non-coding RNA (HVUL_LNC007556)
Source: RNAcentral
GACAACAUCGCCUAUGGUUCCAUCAUCGACACCAAGGGGUACUAUGUCUGGAGGGCUGGUUACGCCUUUUCGACGUAGAAACCGUCAUCCCCUCUCCGCUGAUGGUUCUUCUCCAACCGAUGAGCAUAGCCUCGCAAAGGCGAUGCGCCGCCAGGCUUCGAUGAAUUUGGACCCCACGAUAGGUACCUCCACCGCUCAAUCUUUACUUUCCUUUUCAGAUACCCGCGUUUCUUCCAGCUUAAAGAACGUUGGUGUAUCUAUGGGAAAGAAUAAUAAUGAAAUUAAUCUAUCGGUUGGGGUACUUAAACAUAUGGAGAUCGAUCGCUUAAAGGGUUCUCCGAAGUGUAGUAUCAUAAUACCGAACCCCGAAACCGAGGAGGGGGAUGAAAAGCGGAUGCCAAAUAUGAUGGUCCGCUAAUUUCUCACUUGGUUGGUGAGGUUACCGAGGUUGGAUUAGACGACACAAGACCUGGGUCCAUGUUUUGUGACUUUACAGCGUCCACGCGGAAAUCUAAAUCGCACUCCUCUAAAAAGAAACAAAAACCGCCUAAGAAGGCGAAGAACUCCACAACCAAACGAGUUUCCACAUGAGAGGCAUGUUUUGGAAUAGCAGAGGUCUACUAGACUUCGCUAAACAUAAACACGUCAAUGAUUGUGUUCGGGAAUAUGGAUUGGAUUUUGUGGUAAAUUCCGAGGCUGGUAAGUUUGACUUUCACCCGCAUGUCCUCGAUCACCUAUCAGGUGGUCUCGACUACACAUGACAUAGUCUACCAGCUCCUGGAAGGUCAGGAGGUAUCCUUCUUGGGAUACUAACCUCAGUCAUGGACUUGUUGGCCAUUUCAGUAGGUGAAUUUCAUAUAAAAUUUCACCGAAGAAACAGGGACGACAAUUUCACAUGGACUUUGGUAGCUGUCUAUGAGGCUGCCCAGGAUGAGCAUAAAUCGACUUUCCUUACGGAAUUGGUAAACCUAGCUAAGGAUAACCCGUAUCCAAUGCUUAUUGGAGGGGAUUUUAAUACUCUUAGGUACCAGCAAGAAAAAAAACCCGCUUAAACACUCAUUGGCCUUUCCUAUUCAAUGCUGUGAUAGACAGUUUGGAUCUUCCAGAGGUCAGUAUGUCAGGGCGGCAGUUCACCUAGGCUACUAAUCUGUUAGUGCCAACAUACGAGAAGCUCGACAGGGUACUCAUGGACACCGAAUGGGAAAUAAAAUUUCCUUUGGUCACUGUACGAGCCCUAGAGCAUAUCGAGGCAUUAUUGGAUCAUGCAUCCCUCAUUCUUGAUUCUAAUUCUACGAACCCACUGGCCCAUCGCCCUUUCAAAUUUGAAUUGGGAUGGCUACAUCGGGAAGGGUUUAUAGAUAUAAUCAAGAAUGUUUGGGAGAGGCUCGCGAUUGGCCACACACCUAUUCAGAGAUGGAACUUUAAAAUAAGGGCCAUGAGGAAACACCUCACUGGAUGGGCGAAACACACCAAUGGGAUACAUAAAAAAGAAAAACAAAGGCUCUCUACCAUUAUUGACGACCUCGAUAAGAUUGCAGAGACGUGCAACUUAUCACAACAAGAAAUUGAAUUGAAAAAUCAACCUAAUGAGAAGGUUGCUCGGCUUUUGCGAGAAGAGGAAAUCAAAUACUACCAGAGAUCCAAAGUUGACUUCAUUUUGCUGGGUGAUAGUAAUACAAGAUACUUCCAAUUGAUCGCCAAUGGGUGGCAUAGGAAGAGAUGUAUUUACAGUCUCCAACAAGAUGAGGGAUGGAUCGAAGGCCAGGAGGAGCUCAAAAAGUAUAUCACCAAAUACUACAAAUCAUUGUUCGGAGCGUCGCCUGAAGGGAACUUCACCCUUGACGGGACUCGAACAGAUGAUAUCCCACAAGUCACAUCCGAAGAAAACGAUAUCCUCACGGCACCUUUCUCAGAAGAGGAUGUGAGAGCGACGGUGUUCCAAAUGGAACACAACAAAGCUCCAGGCCCUCAUGAUUUCCCCGUGGAAUUCUAUCAGAAUUUAUGGGAUAUCAUCAAGGCUGACCUUUUGGAAUUGUUCAAUUGUCUUCAUACCGACCUACUUGAUCUAUUCAGACUUAAUUUUGGUGACAUUGUCUUAUUGCCGAAGAUUAAGGAGGCCGAACGGAUCCAACAGUUUAGACCCAUAUGCCUCCUUAAUGUAAGCUUCAAGAUUUUCACAAAAGUAAACAUGAGUGGAGUAGUAUUCAAAAUCAACUUUGAAAAAGCCUAUGACAAUUUCAAAUGGUCUUUCCUCCAACAGACCCUACGAAUGAAAGGCUUCUCAGAUAAAUGGCGCCAGUGGAUCCAAAAUUUUGUAACUGGAGGUAGUGUGGCCAUCAAAGUCAAUGAUGAAGCAAGCCAUUACUUUCAGACAAAAAAAGGGUUGCGGCAGGGUGACUCCAUGUCCCCAAUGUUAUUUAACAUUGUUGCUGACAUGUUGGCUAUUUUGAUUGAGCGUGCAAAGCAGGACGGUCGGAUUGCAGGAGUAGUGCCACACCUUGUGGAUGGUGGCCUCUUUAUUCUGCAAUAUGCCGGUGACACAAUUCUUUGUAUGGAACAUGACCUGGACAAGGCUCGAAACCUUAAACUCUUGCUUUCAGCGUUUGAGCCAAUGUCAGGUCUCAAAAUUAACUUUCAUAAAAGGGAAAUUUUCUGUGUCGGAGAAGCCGUUGAGGCGAUGGCAGAUUAUGCUGACCUGUUUGGUUGUGCACAUGGCCAAUUCCCGAUUAAGUAUCUGGGAAUUCCAAUUCAUUACCGGUGUCUCACGAUUGCGGAGUGGAAGUAUGUAGAGGAGCGUCUAGAGAAACACUUAAGUAGUUGGGAAGGCAAGUUGCUUUCAGUUGGAGGACGGUUGGUUCUGAAUAACUCUGUCCUCACAAAUAUGGUUCUCUAUAUGUUUCUUUCUUCCAACUCCCAAAGGGGGUUCUACAAAGACUGGACUAUUUUAGAUCCAGAUUCUUUUGGCAAGGAGAUGGUGAAAAGAAAAAAUACAAAUUGGCCAAAUGGAGCAUGGUUUGUAGGCCAAAAGACCAAGGUGGGCUUGGAAUUCAUGACCUAAAGGUAAGAAUGAGGCCCUACUCAGUAAAUGGUUAUUCAAACUUCUUACUGAGGAUGGUGUUUGGCAAACCAUGUUGCGCAACAAAUAUCUAGGCCAAAAGGCAAUGUCUCAGACAUAUUGGAAACCUGGAGACUCACACUUUUGGGUUGGCCUAAUGGUGGCAAAGAAGCAUCUUUCUCACUUUGGGUCUUUUACGAUAAAGGAUGGGUCGGAAAUUCAUUUCUGCGAAGACAUAUGGCUAGGCAAUGCAAGUCUCCGAGAACAAUAUCCUGCCUUGUAUGUCAAUGCUCGCGAUAAGAAUAAUACUAUUGCGCAGGUGCUCAGUUCAUCUCCGCCGAAUCUUUCGUUCAGGCGGGAUUUGAUUGGCCCCCGUCUUGUGUCAUGGCAUAAUCUUUUGUCCCGACUGGAUUCGAUUAACUUGACACAAGGCCGGGAUCUAUUCCACUGGAACCUUACUACAUCAAGGUCUUUCACAGUGGACUUUAUGUAUCGUGCGCUCACGCAUUCUGGGGUACCGGUGAGUAAUAACAAAAAUAUUUGGAAGUCGAAGAUCCCACUAAAAGUUAAAAUCUUCAUGUGGUACCUUCGUAGAGGAGUUGUGCUAACCAAAGAUAACCUCGCACGACGCAACUGGCAAGGGAGUAAGUUUUUGUACUCAUAACGAGACAAACAAGCACCUAUUUUUCCACUGCAAUUUUGCACGUUCUACGUGGUCAGUCAUCCAAAUAGCGUCAAAUUUAUACCCACCUACAAGUGUUGCCAAUAUUUUUUGGUCGUUGGUUGGAUGGUAUUCCGAAUAGGUUCAAGACGAUGAGAAGGGUGGGAGAGUAUGCCUUAAGUUGGUCGCUUUGGCUAUGUAGAAAUGAUAUGGUUUCUAAUGAUAAAAUGCAUCUCUUCAGCGGGUUAUUUUCCGAUGUACGCAAUUGCUUCGUAUGUGGUCUACGCUACAACGACCGGAGUACCAAUCGUUGUUCAAGUCGGGGUGUACGCGAUUGGAGCAGGUGGCUACAGAGGGUUUUUCCCAACAUGGGUGGAACAUAACCUUCGCAUAAACGGACCACCACCUUCGGUGGUCCUUCGACAUAGGCAUAGUGCCGGUCUAUAGGACUCUAUUGUUGCCGAUAUGUCGGUUUUGUUUUAUUUAUUUAUCUGUUGUUGGCAGACUUUAAGGUUUGGCUGUGUGCAUCCUAGAUUUGCAGAGGCCGGGUGUUACUCAUAAUGUUUUGUAUCCGCUUGAUGCUACAUUUUGAGAUAAUAAAAGCGCCCUUUAUCAAAAAAACUUAAUUGCAAAGUACAACUACACCAAGGUAGACAACUUAUAGCACCAAUAGUGAAAUGCUUCUAGAAAUGUGCCAAAAUUUGUAAUCAUCUACAAAUAGACAAACGAGAAUAUACUAUUUCUGUGCUGGUAAUUAUGAAAGAAGGAAAUAUAAUUUUCAGACUGUACCUGGCUUCGAAUUCCCUUAUCUCAAAAAGCUCCUUUCCACAUGUAUCAGUCCAUUGAACUUUUCUCCGUUCCAUACCAGAUUUCAAGGUUUGCACCUCUUCCAGUGACUCACGUGGUUCUUCACCUUCACUCGCCAAUAUAGAAUGCUCCGACGAAUCCCUUUUUGAGUUGCUCUUAAGACAACCUUUUCUCUCAUCUCCAGUUAUGGAACCAUUAGCGGUAACCUUCUUCUCUGUUGAACGGGAUGGCUCUUCCAAAGAGUCCAAAGAGUUGCUUGAACUCAGUUUCGCAGGAUACACCCCUUCGAGCUCCGAAGCAGUGCUACCGAAGCAGACGAAGGGAGCACAUUUACGGGGAGCUUGAUUUUUUGUGGAAGCCAGAUGAUACACAUGCUCAGCUUCCCCGUCGACUAGUCCAUACUGAUUCCAUGGCGAUACCUUGACAGGCUUCUCUUCUUCUUUCCGUCCAAGCAGCAAAAGAGCAAGGCCAUGACUGUAUCCUGAAGCUGACGAUGAGAAAAAACCUCCUCCUUCCACAGCCAGUAGCAUUUCCACUUCUCAUCCAGGAACCAUUAACUAUAUUCUUCUGCUCUGCUUAAUAAACUUCCUCUUCAUUGGCUGGUCAACUGUGCUACAAGGGAAAAGAAAACCAGAUUCAAUGCUCAUUAUACUUGCACCCGAGAUAUAUACUACCCUCUCACGAAUGUAAUUCAGUAGCAGAAUAUUAGCCGCACAUCAACAGGGCAUGGAUAUCUCAACUGCAGCAGGCAUUCUUGUCUUGAACCAAGGCUCUUCAUCAGUUACCACGCAAUCAAGAAACAGAAAAGGUCUUCAAUUAUAUCCAACCGUUCCAAUUUUAGCUGAGCAUAUAACUGAAGAGUUCAGCCCAGUCACCUAAACAUGAUCACAUGCUAGUGUACUCCCAACUGCAUCGAAGCCUAAAAGGCUCUUGAUUCACUCGUACCACACAUAUGCAGUAACCAAUCCCAUGCGAAUAUGCAAUGAAGCGGAGCGCACACUCUAAUAUAUACUUCUAAAGAAAUUUUAGAAAAUAGAUAAAGAAACUGCAAUACAGAUUGACAAGAAGUUGCUAAUGAGGUAAUCCCAAGAAGAUAUGUUCCAAAGUAAGCAACAAUUGUUACUGAUUGAGUUAUAUAUAUAGAAUAUAUAAAAGAGAGAAAAAUCCGCAGCACUGACCGAAGAGGUAGGCCUUCACACGGAUCUAGCAACCAAGAAGCAACCAAAUCCUUAAUAAUCGGCUUAAGUAAGGAACGCAUUGGCUAACACCAAUAUUCAACACCCAAACUAGGACCGGCACGACCCGGAUCUGGAAAAGAAGUCCGGGAAGUUUAAAUCAGUGGGCGAACAAAAUGCUACUGCUGAACGGAUCGGACCUGGGAGAGAGCUACAUUCCGAUUGGGCGCAGCAGGGUUGGAGGCGGGGGGGCUAUCGGAUCUGAGCCUGAUGCGAGGUGAGAGAAAAGGAAGGUGGUGUUUGUUUCCAUGGGCUUUUUGAUGUAGGGAUUAAAAAAAAGUCCUAAAAAGUCCCAUGUAAAACAAACAGGAAGGACUUUUAGGGACUAAAGUGGGGUGUUUGGGACUAUUUGAAGUACCUAUGUGAGGGACUUUUUGGCACUUUUUCCAACAAUGCCCCUACUUUUAGCAUGUAAUUUAAUAACUACUACUACAUUACUAAGGAUAACAUGGUCUUUUUACAUGUCAUUUAAUGACCUCUAGUUCCUAUUUAGUCCCUGGAAACAAACGGAUAGGGACUAGGGACUUUUAAGUUGGGACUAAAAAAAGUCUCAGGACUUCUCAAACAAACAGGGCCGAAAUCGAUUGUGGCAGAAAAAGAAAAGGAAAUCGAUUGUAGCAGAAAAAGAGAAGGUACAAACAGACAGGACCUCAGCGGCAGUUGGUGCUGUUUUUAUUUUUACAUGAGUUUUUUUUACCUGAGUUGGUGCUGUUCUGUCCUACUCGGCAAAAAUUGACAAAUUUAACCCACGAGGCAAAGUAUUUCAUAAAAUGAACUACAUUUGAAAAAAAUUCACUCAACUGAUUUUUUUAUGUGAUAUUCGACAGUCACGCGUCACACUACACUGUGUGACGUUUUAGUCUUAGACGCCACACAGUGUAGUGUGACGUCUAUAUCUUAGACGCCACACUAGGUCUCAGGCGUCACACAACCUAGUAUCGGGCGUCACCCAGUGUAGUGUGGCGUCUAAGACAAAGACGUUACACAAAAGGUCAGUUGGGUGAUUUUUUUUUAAAAUGUAGUUCACUUUGUGAAUUAGUUUGGCUUUUAGUCAAAAUUUUCCACUUCGCCGGAUCGUUUAGGUUGGGGCCCUCGUCGUAGUUGACCUUGUGGGUCCGGACUGUAAGUAGGCGUUCUAUUUCUCCUUCUUUCUUUCGCGAAACAAAGUAGGCGUUAUUUUGUUGCGUAGAGCCCUACCUGGCCAAACGGGUCGGCACGGCACGGCACGUUUACUAAUCGGGUCGUGCCGUGUGAGUCCAUGGUUGCGCCUCUAGGCACAGCACAUUUACUAAUCGGGUCGUGUCGUGUGAGUCCAUGGGUUGCGCCUCUAGGCACGGCACGAUUAUUAAACGAGCCGGCAUGUUGGCCCGAUUAGCACGCUCGACCGUAUAUUUUAGUCUCGUGGGUUUAUUUUUUAACCUAUUGGACCAUAUAUUAUGUAUAUAUAUAUUAAAAAAAUAUAUAAAAAAUAAACGGGUCGUGUCGUGUCGUGUCGGCCCACGUGCCCAGCCUCCAGGCCCAGGCACGGCCCGAGGCGUGCUGCGUGCCUCGCACGGGCCCGUUUAAGUCGUGUCGUGCCUGGCCCAUGGCGGGCCGGCCUGUUUGACCAGCUAUACGUGGAGCAUCUACAGCCGCGUACCAAAAAAAUGACAUCCUCUUUACAGCAUCUCCAAUAGAGCCCAUAUGUAAAAAUAACUAACUUUUGGAUCUUUUAAAGCAAAAAAACAACACUCCAACAAAUGGUUCAUAUGAAAAAAAUACAUCUCUGCCUCCUCGUGAUGUAAAUUUCAACACCUCGCGGUGCAAAUUUACAUCUCCAAAGGCAGGAGAUGUAAAAACCGCGGCCGCGCGCCAACCACCAACCAUUCUUCAUUUGCUUCCCCCCACUUCUUCCUCCCGCCCACCGUCGCCUCGCCGCAGCUCACCGAUGUCGCCUCGCCGUAGAUCCAAUCCCCCGCCUCCGAUUCCACCCCGCCACGUCCGCCUCCGCUCCGCCAUGACCACGUCCGCCCCCGCUCCGGACGCCUCCGCCCCGACCCCGCCCGCCUCCUCUUCGGUCGCCUCCGCCUCCGUCCGCCUUCCCUCAGUCCCGACCCCGUCCGCCCCGCUCCGGUCGCCUCCGCCCCGACCACGUCUUCCUCCUCUCCGGCGGCAUCCGCCUUUGGUCUGGCCUCCGCGCGCCCCGCCUGCACCGCACGCCUCCGUUCGCCUCCGCUCCAUGUCGCAUGACGUCUCCCGCUCCCCGCAGCUCCGACGACGAGGAGUAGUCUCAUCUAGUAGUUGAAUUUAUGUAUGAAAAUAUGUUGAAUUUGAUGUUGAACUAUGUUGAGAUGAAGUAGUAAUCGUUUUGGACCAUUUGUUGGACUUGCUCGUUUUUUACAUCUCCGUUUUGGACCAUCUGUUGAAGUUGGGCCUUUUUUGAAGAUGUAAAUAGCACUUUUUGGUGCUCCAAAUUUGGACCACCACCGGAUUGAAGCAUCAAAAUAUACAUCAUCUAUUGGAGAUGCUCUUAACCCUACUAAUACUCGGAGGUGUGUCCCAUUAAAAAAAUACUCGAAGGUGUGGGCCGUUGAGUAUCAUUAUUAGUUAGCAAACAUAAGAUAGACUAGGAAUAAUUCUGGUUUGUCUUGUAUCCAGGUUGAUCAUGUACUCCUAUAAAUACGCCCAUGAGGUUCAAGCAAUACAUGAACCAUUCCACCAAUCCUUCUAUUCCCCUCUACAUGGUAUUUGCCGCCAGUUCCUAGACCUGAUCGUCGCACGCCGCUUACCCCCCCCCCCCCGCCGUGUUUCCCUCGGCAGGUCAGCCUCCAUGACCGCCCACGGGGGCCGCAUCACCCGUACCUAGGGUCCGUCCGUCGGUCGUGUUGACCGGCUGCCCUAGAAAGUCUUUUUCUCGAUCUCUUGAUCCGAAUUUUUCUUUCUUCCGCCGGACGCUUUGGUUGGCGUUUUAUUUUUGGUUUUCUGAUCUCAGAUCAGGUUGCGUCGCCCGUCGCCGCCGUCGACACUUGCGUGCCUCUACUCCGACAAUGGCGCGACCCAGGCCUAUUCUUCGACCUGGCAGCCUCGCGCCCCCACGUGACGCAUCGUGGUUGUCGCUCGCGCGACUGCCUGCCCGUCGCCUUGCGCCUGUCGUCGCUGCCAAUGGCGCAACCCCGACCACUUUUGCAGCCCGGCGGCUUCGCACGACACGGCGCCCUAUCCCGGUCGUCGUUCGCGCGUUUGCCCGCCCGUUGCUCCGCGUCGGUCGUGAUCGCCCGCGUCCAAUCAGGAUCCUACAUCACCUAUCGUCUUCGCCAUCGUUCGCCGGCUGCCUGGGGCUUGAUGUCUACCUGGCUCGGGCGGCCUUGUCGUCUUGAGAUUUUCUGGCUCGGGUCUCCGCCGCCCCUUGUCAGUUGCCACGAGGUUUUGCGCUCGGGCGUCGGCUGCCUUGGGCACGCUGUUCCCCAUCGGUCGCAGCCCCCUUGAUCUGCUCGAGCACCCCACUUCAUCGUCCACGACGCCAUCAUCAUCACUGAGCAGCGCCCUCGACCUCGCAUGCGAUCGAUUGAUCACCCGCCCGUCGCGACCGACUCCAUCCGUAUGGUGCGACUAACCUGAUCAGCCGGCUGCAUGCGCCUCCACAGGUCCUCUAAAGGUUGUCCCCGAGUACGGCAUGCCCUUCCACCGAUCGAGCAACGGGCUGCCGCUGCAUCACCCCAUCGGGCCGCAGCGUCGCCACCUAGUGGUUCUCCCCGCGAGCCACCCCUACACCGCCCGUGCGGGCUGUAGUGACGCGGCACGCGGUCUCUGCCGCCGCCCGAGGCCGUCCUUGUGGCUGUACCGACCUGCGCAUCGCUGUUGCGUCACCUCUCCGGGCCGUACUAUUGUGGCACGCAGUCCAUGCCGCCCUAGAACAGCACCAACAGCAUAAUCACUAGCAUCACACAUGAUCUCAAAAGGCAAGUUCUGUAGGGGAACGUCGCAUGGGAAACAAAAAAUUUCCUACGCGCACGAAGACCUAUCAUGGUGAUGUCCAUCUACGAGAGGGGAUGUGUGAUCUACGUACCCUUGUAGACCGUACAACAGAAGCGUUAGUGAACGCGGUUGAUGUAGUGGAACGUCCUCACGUCCCUCGAUCCGCCCCGCGAACCGUCCCGCGAUCAGUCCCACGAUCUAGUGCCGAACGGACGGCACCUCCGCGUUCAGCACACGUACAGCUCGACGAUGAUCUCGGCCUUCUUGAUCCAGCAAGAGAGACAGAGAGGUAGAAGAGUUCUCCGGCAGCGUGACGGCGCUCCGGAGGUUGGUGAUGAUCUUGUCUCAGCAGGGCUCCGCCCGAGCUCCGCAGAAACGCGAUCUAGAGGAAAAACCGUGGAGGUAUGUGGUCGGGCUGCCGUGGAAAAGUCGUCUCAAAUCAGCCCUAAAAACCUCCGUAUAUAUAGGUGGGAGAGGGGGAACCUUGCCUUGGGGCUCAAGGAGCCCCAAGGGGGUCGGCCGAGCCAAGGGGGAAGGUCUCCCCCCCCCAAACCGAGUCCUACUUGGUUUGGUGGGUGGAGUCCUUCUUUCCUUUCCCACCUCCUCCUUUUUUUUCUCUUUGAUUUUCUUCCUAUGGCGCAUAGGGCCUUCUUGGGCUGUCCCACCAGCCCACUAAGGGCUGGUGUGCCACCCCCAAGGCCUAUGGGCUUCCCCGGGGUGGGUUGCCCCCCCGGUGAACUCCCGGAGCCCAUUCGUCAUUCCCGGUACAUUCCGGUAACUCCGAAAACCUUCCGGUAAUCAAAUGAGGUCAUCCUAUAUAUCAAUCUUCGUUUCCGGACCAUUCCGGAAACCCUCGUGACGUCCGUGAUCUCAUCCGUGACUCCGAACAACAUUCCGUAACCAACCAUAUAACUCAAAUACGCAUAAAACAACGUCGAACCUUAAGUGUGCAGACCCUGCGGGUUCGAGAACUAUGUAGACAUGACCCGAGAGACUCCUCGGUCAAUAUCCAAUAGCGGGACCUGGAUGCCCAUAUUGGAUCCUACAUAUUCUACGAAGAUCUUAUCAUUUGAACCUCAGUGCCAAGGAUUCAUAUAAUCUCGUAUGUCAUUCCCUUUGUCCUUCGGUAUGUUACUUGCCCGAGAUUCGAUCGUCAGUAUCCGCAUACCUAUUUCAAUCUCGUUUACCGGCAAGUCUCUUUACUCGUUUCGUAAUACAAGAUCCCGCAACUUACACUAAGUUACAUUGCUUGCAAGGCUUGUGUGUGAUGUUGUAUUACCGAGUGGGCCCCGAGAUACCUCUCCGUCACACGGAGUGACAAAUCUCAGUCUUGAUCCAUACUAACUCAACGAACACCUUCGGAGAUACCUGUAGAGCAUCUUUAUAGUCACCCAGUUACGUUGCGACGUUUGAUACACACAAAGUAUUCCUCUGGUGUUAGUGAGUUAUAUGAUCUCAUGGUCAUAGGAACAAAUACUUGACACGCAGAAAAACAGUAGCAACAAAAUGACACGAUCAACAUGCUACGUCUAUUAGUUUGGGUCUAGUCCAUCACUUGAUUCUCCUAAUGACGCGAUCCAGUUAUCAAGCAACAACGCCUUGUUCAUAAUCAGAAGACACUGACUAUCUUUGAUCAACUGGCUAGCCAACUAGAGGCUUGCUAGGGACAGUGUUUUGUCUAUGUAACCACACAUGUAAAUGAAUCUUCAUUCAAUACAAUUAUAGCAUGGAUAAUAAACGAUUAUCUUGAUACAGGAAUUAUAAUAAUAACUAUAUUUAUUAUUGCCUCUAGGGCAUAAUUCCAACAAGUUCCAAUUAGGUGGUUGAACAAUAGGUGCAGUUAAUAAAGCCCUUUUAAGUGUUUCGAAGGCUUCCUCGUAGUCAUCGUUAAAAACAAAAGGAAUAUCCUUUUGCAAGAGAUUGGUAAGAGGCCUAGAAAUCAAAAACAAAAGGAAUAUCCUAAGCGAGCCAGCCCGGCCAGGCUCCUGCCCGCAUGUGCCGAGGCCACGUGCCCCACAUCCAUCGCCCCUGGGACUGGGAGAUAUCCCAGCACCCCACGUAGCAGCACGAGCCAGCUCCCAGCGAGCGCUCUUGUGCCCCAUCGCACCACGUGCACCACGAGCCAGCAAUGCCCAGCUCCACCGAGCCCAGGCUCUGCCCGCGUUGACCAGGCGAGAGCUUCGCCCCAUUGCCGAGCGAGGCCAGCAUCCAGGAGGCCCCAUCGCCCCCAGCCGACAGGAGGGUCCCGCACCCCUUGCCUCGUUUCCCCUGUCCCGAGCCAGACUCCCGCAGCUCCUAGCCUCCCGAGACCGAGUCUGGCCAGGACUCCUCCUCCUCGCGAGUAGAAAAGUCCAGGAGCCGACCCUCUCGUGAUUAUUUCCUUGUCCCAAUUCCUUUCUGCUGGUUUUCGAUCUGAGCCAGACCCCAUCUCGCCUAGAUCGCAGAGGAGCCGCCCCUCACCGCGCCGAUGCCGAAGCCGCCAUCGCCGGAGCACCUCACCAUCCACCGGAGUUCGCGAAGCCGUUCACCGGAGUUUGCGCACGUCACCGGAGUUUGUCCGACCGCCACCGGAGAAGCACCAUCGGAGGCACCACACCGAGACGGUUCCGUUUUCCCCCGCUGUCCGUGGUGAGAACGCACGCACGAGCCGUUUCAUCAAACCCCGAUGAACAGCUUUAGGACGAAAUUUAAUCUGUUUUUCAUCUGUUUUUAAUUCUGUCAGAUUCUCGGUAUAAUUUUGAAACGCGUUUAUCUUUUUACUCGUAACUCCGAUUCAGGAAAUUCUUUUUCCCGUGAUCUCGUAUUGAUGAGUAGAACAUGUUAGAACCAGUAGUUUUCAGUUUUACGAAAAUUAAUUUUUUUUGUUAAAUCAGAUUUAUUUUAGACGUACCGGAGGCCAUAUUUUGCAAACCGUUCAUCCGGUUUAGUUGAUUCUUUUUGCGUUGUCAUCAUAUCAGCAUGUCGAUGAUUUUAUGCCUGCUGCCAUGCUAUUUAUGCUUUGGUUUUAAACAAGUUGUCUUAUUGCUGAUGGUUUUAUUUGGUGUUAUGUGAUUGUGGUGAUUGAUUGGUGUGAUUGUUUGCAACGUGUAGAUUGUGCGGAGUGCGACACAAACUAUUGUCAGGAGUGUG